RNAcentral lists this small RNA (674 nucleotides) under Pan troglodytes (chimpanzee). RNAcentral's name for it is "processed transcript". The record is from RNAcentral. Lineage: Eukaryota; Metazoa; Chordata; Mammalia; Primates; Hominidae.
CGCUGCUGCUCGAGCGGCCGAUCCGAGACGUGGCUCCCCGGGCGGAAGAACCAUGUUGGACUUCGCGAUCUUCGCCGUUACCUUCUUGCUGGCGUUGGUGGGAGCGGUGCUCUACCUCUAUCCGCGGACCCUUUUGAAACCAUGCUGAAGUCAUUAUUAAGGUAUCAAUCUGGUGGUGGCAGUGUGAGUGAAAACCACAUGAGGAAAAAAUUGUAUGAAAAUGGUGUGACUGAUUCUCUGAAGAGUAACUUUGCCCUCCUCCUAAAGCUUUCAGAAGAAUUAUUAGAUAAAUGGCUCUCCUACCCAGAGACCCAGCACGUGCCCCUCAGCCAGCAUAUGCUUGGUUUUGCUAUGAAGUCUGUUACACAGAUGGUAAUGGGUAGUACAUUUGAAGAUGAUCAGGAAGUCAUUCGCUUCCAGAAGAAUCAUGGCACACCCUCAUGCAACUGGAGUCUGUUUUAAGGAACAUCAUAAAAGAACGAAAAGGAAGGAACUUCAGUCAACAUAUUUUCAUUGACUCCUUAGUACAAGGGAACCUUAAUGACCAACAGAUCCUAGAAGACAGUAUGAUAUUUUCUCUGGCCAGUUGCAUAAUAACUGCAAAAUUGUGUACCUGGGCAAUCUGUUUUUUAACCACCUCUGAAGAAGUUCAAAAAAAAUUAUAUGAAGAGAUA